This 468-nucleotide ribosomal RNA is filed under the name uncultured bacterium. RNAcentral describes it as "partial 16S ribosomal RNA". It matches the Rfam family "Bacterial small subunit ribosomal RNA", at positions 28 to 507 of the family's 1533-position model. The record is from RNAcentral.
GACGAACGCUGGCGGCGUGCUUAACACAUGCAAGUCGAACGGAAAGGCCCUGUUUUUGUGGGGCGCUCGAGUGGCGAACGGGUGAGUAACACGUGAGUAACCUGCCCUUGACGUUGGGAUAACUUCAGGAAACUGGGGCUAAUACCGGAUAGGAGCUCCUGCUGCAUGGUGGGGGUUGGAAAGGUUCGGCGGUUGGGGAUGGACUCGCGGCUUAUCAGCUUGUUGGUGGGGUAGUGGCUUACCAAGGCUUUGACGGGUAGCCGGCCUGAGAGGGUGACCGGCCACAUUGGGACUGGGAUACGGCCCAGACUCCUACGGGAGGCAGCAGUGGGGAAUAUUGCACAAUGGGCGGAAGCCUGAUGCAGCAACGCCGCGUGCGGGAUGACGGCCUUCGGGUUGUAAACCGCUUUCGCCUGUGACGAAGCGUGAGUGACGGUAAUGGGUAAAGAAGCACCGGCUAACUACGUG